This 136-nucleotide microRNA precursor is filed under the name Picea abies (Norway spruce). RNAcentral describes it as "miR529g stem-loop (pab-MIR529g)". Its record names the gene pab-MIR529g. The record is from miRBase by way of RNAcentral. Lineage: Eukaryota; Viridiplantae; Streptophyta; Pinopsida; Pinales; Pinaceae.
GCCUCGCCAGAGUCUGAACCAGAAGAGAGAGAGCACCGCCUCUAAUCUUAAACCUGCAAUGACCCGUCUUACAUAUUUGCAGUGGAGAAGAGGAGGUGCUCUCUCUCUUCAUGUUCAGGUGAUUCCGGCGAUAUGC